Molecule: ribosomal RNA, 490 nt
Filed under: uncultured bacterium
Lineage: Bacteria
Description: partial 16S ribosomal RNA
Rfam family: Bacterial small subunit ribosomal RNA
Source: RNAcentral
AUUGAACGCUGGCGGCAGGCCUAACACAUGCAAGUCGAACGGUAACAGAAAGCAGCUUGCUGCUUUGCUGACGAGUGGCGGACGGGUGAGUAAUGUCUGGGAAACUGCCUGAUGGAGGGGGAUAACUACUGGAAACGGUAGCUAAUACCGCAUAACGUCGCAAGCCCAAAGAGGGGGACCUUCGGGCCUCUUGCCAUCGGAUGUGCCCAGAUGGGAUUAGCUUGUUGGUGGGGUAACGGCUCACCAAGGCGACGAUCCCUAGCUGGUCUGAGAGGAUGACCAGCCACACUGGAACUGAGACACGGUCCAGACUCCUACGGGAGGCAGCAGUGGGGAAUAUUGCACAAUGGGCGCAAGCCUGAUGCAGCCAUGCCGCGUGUAUGAAGAAGGCCUUCGGGUUGUAAAGUACUUUCAGCGGGGAGGAAGGGAGUAAAGUUAAUACCUUUGCUCAUUGACGUUACCCGCAGAAGAAGCACCGGCUAACUCCGUG